This 484-nucleotide ribosomal RNA is filed under the name uncultured bacterium. RNAcentral's name for it is "partial 16S ribosomal RNA". It matches the Rfam family "Bacterial small subunit ribosomal RNA", at positions 30 to 507 of the family's 1533-position model. The record is from RNAcentral.
AUUGAACGCUGGCGGCAGGCCUAACACAUGCAAGUCGAGCGGAUGAAGGGAGCUUGCUCCUGGAUUCAGCGGCGGACGGGUGAGUAAUGCCUAGGAAUCUGCCUGGUAGUGGGGGAUAACGUCCGGAAACGGGCGCUAAUACCGCAUACGUCCUGAGGGAGGAAGUGGGGGAUCUUCGGACCUCACGCUAUCAGAUGAGCCUAGGUCGGAUUAGCUAGUUGGUGGGGUAAAGGCCUACCAAGGCGACGAUCCGUAACUGGUCUGAGAGGAUGAUCAGUCACACUGGAACUGAGACACGGUCCAGACGCCUACGGGAGGCAGCAGUGGGGAAUAUUGGACAAUGGGCGAAAGCCUGAUCCAGCCAUGCCGCGUGUGUGAAGAAGGUCUUCGGAUUGUAAAGCACUUUAAGUUGGGAGGAAGGGCAGUAAGUUAAUACCUUGCUGUUUUGACGUUACCAACAGAAUAAGCACCGGCUAACUUCGUG